AGCGUACACGGUGGAUGCCCUGGCAGUCAGAGGCGAUGAAGGACGUGCUAAUCUGCGAUAAGCGUCGGUAAGGUGAUAUGAACCGUUAUAACCGGCGAUUUCCGAAUGGGGAAACCCAGUGUGAUUCGUCACACUAUCAUUAACUGAAUCCAUAGGUUAAUGAGGCGAACCGGGGGAACUGAAACAUCUAAGUACCCCGAGGAAAAGAAAUCAACUGAGAUUCCCCCAGUAGCGGCGAGCGAACGGGGAGGAGCCCAGAGCCUGAAUCAGUGUGUGUGUUAGUGGAAGCGUCUGGAAAGGCGCGCGAUACAGGGUGACAGCCCCGUACACAAAAAUGCACAUGCUGUGAGCUCGAUGAGUAGGGCGGGACACGUGGUAUCCUGUCUGAAUAUGGGGGGACCAUCCUCCAAGGCUAAAUACUCCUGACUGACCGAUAGUGAACCAGUACCGUGAGGGAAAGGCGAAAAGAACCCCGGCGAGGGGAGUGAAAAAGAACCUGAAACCGUGUACGUACAAGCAGUGGGAGCACAGAGCAAUCUGUGUGACUGCGUACCUUUUGUAUAAUGGGUCAGCGACUUAUAUUCUGUAGCAAGGUUAACCGAAUAGGGGAGCCGAAGGGAAACCGAGUCUUAACUGGGCGUUAAGUUGCAGGGUAUAGACCCGAAACCCGGUGAUCUAGCCAUGGGCAGGUUGAAGGUUGGGUAACACUAACUGGAGGACCGAACCGACUAAUGUUGAAAAAUUAGCGGAUGACUUGUGGCUGGGGGUGAAAGGCCAAUCAAACCGGGAGAUAGCUGGUUCUCCCCGAAAGCUAUUUAGGUAGCGCCUCGUGAAUUCAUCUCCGGGGGUAGAGCACUGUUUCGGCAAGGGGGUCAUCCCGACUUACCAACCCGAUGCAAACUGCGAAUACCGGAGAAUGUUAUCACGGGAGACACACGGCGGGUGCUAACGUCCGUCGUGAAGAGGGAAACAACCCAGACCGCCAGCUAAGGUCCCAAAGUCAUGGUUAAGUGGGAAACGAUGUGGGAAGGCCCAGACAGCCAGGAUGUUGGCUUAGAAGCAGCCAUCAUUUAAAGAAAGCGUAAUAGCUCACUGGUCGAGUCGGCCUGCGCGGAAGAUGUAACGGGGCUAAACCAUGCACCGAAGCUGCGGCAGCGACGCUUAUGCGUUGUUGGGUAGGGGAGCGUUCUGUAAGCCUGUGAAGGUGUACUGUGAGGUAUGCUGGAGGUAUCAGAAGUGCGAAUGCUGACAUAAGUAACGAUAAAGCGGGUGAAAAGCCCGCUCGCCGGAAGACCAAGGGUUCCUGUCCAACGUUAAUCGGGGCAGGGUGAGUCGACCCCUAAGGCGAGGCCGAAAGGCGUAGUCGAUGGGAAACAGGUUAAUAUUCCUGUACUUGGUGUUACUGCGAAGGGGGGACGGAGAAGGCUAUGUUGGCCGGGCGACGGUUGUCCCGGUUUAAGCGUGUAGGCUGGUUUUCCAGGCAAAUCCGGAAAAUCAAGGCUGAGGCGUGAUGACGAGGCACUACGGUGCUGAAGCAACAAAUGCCCUGCUUCCAGGAAAAGCCUCUAAGCAUCAGGUAACAUCAAAUCGUACCCCAAACCGACACAGGUGGUCAGGUAGAGAAUACCAAGGCGCUUGAGAGAACUCGGGUGAAGGAACUAGGCAAAAUGGUGCCGUAACUUCGGGAGAAGGCACGCUGAUAUGUAGGUGAAGUCCCUCGCGGAUGGAGCUGAAAUCAGUCGAAGAUACCAGCUGGCUGCAACUGUUUAUUAAAAACACAGCACUGUGCAAACACGAAAGUGGACGUAUACGGUGUGACGCCUGCCCGGUGCCGGAAGGUUAAUUGAUGGGGUCAGCGCAAGCGAAGCUCUUGAUCGAAGCCCCGGUAAACGGCGGCCGUAACUAUAACGGUCCUAAGGUAGCGAAAUUCCUUGUCGGGUAAGUUCCGACCUGCACGAAUGGCGUAAUGAUGGCCAGGCUGUCUCCACCCGAGACUCAGUGAAAUUGAACUCGCUGUGAAGAUGCAGUGUACCCGCGGCAAGACGGAAAGACCCCGUGAACCUUUACUAUAGCUUGACACUGAACAUUGAGCCUUGAUGUGUAGGAUAGGUGGGAGGCUUGGAAGUGUGGACGCCAGUCUGCAUGGAGCCGACCUUGAAAUACCACCCUUUAAUGUUUGAUGUUCUAACGUUGACCCGUAAUCCGGGUUGCGGACAGUGUCUGGUGGGUAGUUUGACUGGGGCGGUCUCCUCCUAAAGAGUAACGGAGGAGCACGAAGGUUGGCUAAUCCUGGUCGGACAUCAGGAGGUUAGUGCAAUGGCAUAAGCCAGCUUGACUGCGAGCGUGACGGCGCGAGCAGGUGCGAAAGCAGGUCAUAGUGAUCCGGUGGUUCUGAAUGGAAGGGCCAUCGCUCAACGGAUAAAAGGUACUCCGGGGAUAACAGGCUGAUACCGCCCAAGAGUUCAUAUCGACGGCGGUGUUUGGCACCUCGAUGUCGGCUCAUCACAUCCUGGGGCUGAAGUAGGUCCCAAGGGUAUGGCUGUUCGCCAUUUAAAGUGGUACGCGAGCUGGGUUUAGAACGUCGUGAGACAGUUCGGUCCCUAUCUGCCGUGGGCGCUGGAGAACUGAGGGGGGCUGCUCCUAGUACGAGAGGACCGGAGUGGACGCAUCACUGGUGUUCGGGUUGUCAUGCCAAUGGCACUGCCCGGUAGCUAAAUGCGGAAGAGAUAAGUGCUGAAAGCAUCUAAGCACGAAACUUGCCCCGAGAUGAGUUCUCCCUGACUCCUUGA
This 2789-nucleotide ribosomal RNA is filed under the name Escherichia coli. RNAcentral describes it as "bacterial LSU rRNA". It matches the Rfam family "Bacterial large subunit ribosomal RNA". Lineage: Bacteria; Pseudomonadati; Pseudomonadota; Gammaproteobacteria; Enterobacterales; Enterobacteriaceae. The record is from RNAcentral.